This 585-nucleotide ribosomal RNA is filed under the name uncultured bacterium. Its description in RNAcentral is "partial 16S ribosomal RNA". It matches the Rfam family "Bacterial small subunit ribosomal RNA", at positions 355 to 1375 of the family's 1533-position model. The record is from RNAcentral.
UGGGGAAUCUUGGACAAUGGGCGAAAGCCUGAUCCAGCAAUGCCGCGUGUGUGAAGAAGGCCUUCGGGUUGUAAAGCACUUUUGUCCGGAAAGAAAUCCUUGGCUCUAAUACAGUCGGGGGAUGACGGUACCGGAAGAAUAAGCACCGGCUAACUACGUGCCAGCAGCCGCGGUAAUACGUAGGGUGCAAGCGUUAAUCGGAAUUACUGGGCGUAAAGCGUGCGCAGGCGGUUUGCUAAGACCGAUGUGAAAUCCCCGGGCUCAACCUGGGAACUGCAUUGGUGACUGGCAGGCUAGAGUAUGGCAGAGGGGGGUAGAAUUCCACGUGUAGCAGUGAAAUGCGUAGAGAUGUGGAGGAAUACCGAUGGCGAAGGCAGCCCCCUGGGCCAAUACUGACGCUCAUGCACGAAAGCGUGGGGAGCAAACAGGAUUAGAUACCCUGGUAGUCCACGCCCUAAACGAUGUCAACUAGUUGUUGGGGAUUCAUUUCCUUAGUAACGUAGCUAACGCGUGAAGUUGACCGCCUGGGGAGUACGGUCGCAAGAUUAAAACUUAAAUGAAUUGACGGGGUCAUAGCUGUUUCCU